RNAcentral lists this long non-coding RNA (40612 nucleotides) under Capsicum annuum. RNAcentral describes it as "long non-coding RNA (CANN_LNC008901)". Lineage: Eukaryota; Viridiplantae; Streptophyta; Magnoliopsida; Solanales; Solanaceae. The record is from RNAcentral.
GCCUCACCAACUUUAAACCAACCAAUGGGAGAUCUAUAUCUCCUCCCAUAGAGCACCUCAAAUAGAGUCAUCUAAAUGAUGGAAUGAUAGUUUUUGUUAUACGCAAACUCAAUCAAAGGCAAACAGUCAUCCAAACUACCUUUAAAGUCUAUCGCACGCACGCUCGUAACAUAUCUUGUAAAGUCAAGAUGAUCCUUUCUACUUGACCAUCUGUAUGAGGAUGGAAGGCUGUACUGAGAUGAACUUGGGUACCAAGACUCUUUUGGAAUGCUUUCCAGAAAUGAGAGGUGAACUAGGUACCUCUAUAUGAGAUAAUGGACAAUGGAAUACUGUGUAAUCUGACCAACUCCUUGAUAUAGAGUUUAUCAUAAUCCUUGGCUGAAUAGGAGGUAUAGACUAGGAGAAAAUGAGUUGAUUUGGUCAUCCUAUCUAUAAUGACCUAAACUGAAUCAUGUUGAUGAUGAGUAUGAGGAAAACCCGUCACAAAGUCCAUGUUCACUUCUUCCCACUUCCAGGUACGAAUAUUGAACUCCUAUAUAGAUCCACUAGGCCUCUGAUGCUCAAUCUGAACCUGCUGAGAUGUUGAGCACUUAUCCAAAAACUCUAUAAUAUCUCUCUUCAUCCCACUCCACCAAUAGAUCUCCCGCAAAUCAUGGUACAUCUUAGUGGCCCCUGGAUGAACAGAGUAGUAUGCACUAUGCGCUUCUGCAAGAAUUUUCUGCCUCAAGUCAUCUACGCCUGGCACAUAUUGCCGACCCUAGCAACGCAACACAUCAUCUCCUCCUUGGGAGAAAACCUCUACCUUCUAAUUUCUAACUAAUUCUUUUAACUGGACUAGACUGCGAUCCCUAUCCUACUUUUCCUUUACUUCAAAAACUAGGGAUGAUUCUGAGCUACUCUACACCCAUACACUACCUUUUGUUGAAUCGACUAAGAGAACACCUACUCGGGCUAACUGAUGAACUUCCUAGGCUAACUUCUUCUUAUUAUCCUUAACAUGGGCAACACUACCAUAGACAUUCUACUGAGAGCAUCAUCCAUUACAUUGGCCUUGCCCGGAUGGUACAACAUACUUAUGUCAUAGUCUUUCAACAAUAUUAACCACCUUCUCUGAUGGAGGUUAAGAUAUUUUUGAGAGAAUACAUAUUGCAGGCUCUUAUGAUCAGUGAACACAUCCAAGUGCAUACCAUAAAAAUAGUGCCUCCAAAUCUUUAAGGCAAACACUACAACUACUAACUCAAGAUCAUGAGUAGGGUAGUUCUUCUCAUGGGGAUUAAGAUUUCUAGUGGUAUAGGCUAUGACCUUACCUCUUUGUAUCAACACAAAACCUAAUCCAACUCUAGAAGCAUCACAAUACACAACAAAGCCAUAAAAGCCACCUAGUAGGGUCAAAAUCGGUGUUGUAGUGAGUCGAGUCUUCAACUCCUAAAAACUCUUCUCACAAGAAUCUGACCACUGUAACUUGAAUUUUUUUUGAGUCAACAUAGACAUAGGGGGUACAAUAAAGGAAAAUCCCUCAACAAAUUAUCGGUAAUAGCUGGCCAAACCCAAGAAACUCCUAAUAUCUAAUAGAGAGAUGGGUCUGGACUAGUUUACCACUGUCUCGGUCUUUUGGGGAUCUACUCUAAUGCCAUCACAAAAAUGAUAUGGCCAAGGAAAUCUACUAACCUUAGCCAAAAUUUGCAUUUACUGAAUUUGGCGAAUAGAUGAUGAUUUCUGAGGGUCUGAAAUACUAUUCUGAGAUGGUAUGCAUGAUCUUGUUCACUAUGGAAGUAGACAAGAAUGUCAUCUUUGAAUACUAUGAUGACCAUGUCCAAGUACUACUUGAACACUCGGUUCAUCAUGUCCAUGAAGGCUACUGGGGCAUUGGUAAGACCAAAGUACAUGACUAAGAAUUUAAAGUGGCCCUACCGAGUUUGGAAAACUGUCUUUGGGAUGUCACAUUCUCUGACUCUAAGCUGAUGAUAGCUUGAUUUGAUGUCUAUCUUAGAAAAGUAACUCGUACCCUAAAGCUGGUAAAAUAAGUCAUUUGUUCUGGGAAGUGGAUACUUGUUUUUUAACCAUGAAUUUAUUUAACUGACGGUAGUCAAUACAUAUUCUUAGAUAACCACCUUUUUUAUGCACAAAUAGAACUGGUGCACCCUACAGGGGCACACUAGGUCUGAUGAAUCCUUUAUCUAAGAGAUCCUUUAACUGUUUCUUUAAUUCUCUGAGUUCUAAAGGUGUCAUUCUAUAUGGUGAAAUCGAAAUAGGCUAAGUGUCUGGAAGGAGUUCGAUUUUAAAAUAAAUUUUCCUUUUGAGAGGAACUCCUGGAAGAUCUUCGGGAAACACAUCUAGGAAUUCGCAAACUACUGACACUGAUUUAAGAGUAGGGGUUUCUGAACUAGAGUCCUGGACUCAAACAAGAUGGUAGACACAUCCCUUAGAUAUUAUUUUUCUAGCCCGAAGGUAAGAAACAAGCUGACCCCUGAGUGCUGAAGUACUACACCUCCACUCUAGGAUGGGUUCAUUUAGAAACUGAAACUAGACAAUUUUGUUUCUGCAGUUGACUGAGGCAUAGAAGGAAUAAAGCAAAUCCAUGAUGAGAAUGGCAUCAAAAUCAUCCAUCUCUAGUUUGACUAAAUCUAUUGAUGUGACUUUUUGAGAUUUCAUAACCGGACAGUUCCUAUAUACCCGCUGGGCUAUGAUUGAUUCAUCCAAUGGGGUGGAGACUGAGAAUGUAUUUGAUAGAAUUUUUGGACUAACUCCAAAAUCAACUGCUAUAUAAGGAGUAACAAAGGACAAGAAAACUUUUGGAUCUAGCAAAGCAUAAAUAUGCAAAUGAUAAAAUUGUAACAUACCAGUGACCACAUUAGGAGAACUUUCCUGAUCCUGUUGGGACUGAAGAGCAUAGAGUCUAUUUGGGCGCUGCCCACUGGUGGAACCAAAUGAGGCACCCUGCUAAUUCAGGCAAUCGAACUGAGUUAGAGUACGGUUACGUGGACCCUGGGAACCUGACUGGGGAUAAUUUUUGACUCUGUGGCUUGGUUUGCCACAUCUGAAACAAAUAUCACUUCUUUCCCUGUAGAUACCCUGAUGAUUUCUGCUACCCUGCUGGCAGAGAGGAUUUUUUCGGGCACUGCUAACAUUGCCCUGAGGCUUGGGGCCUGAUGCCCUAUCUCAGUUGCCAUUUCUGGAACUGAGGAUUGCUGGUGGAACUGGGAAUGAUUCCCACCCUCUGACUUAGGCUGGGCAAAGCUGAAACUACCUAUUUUAGCUCUCUUGUUUUGGUUCUCUCUCCUUAUUUUUUUGUUCUUCUAUCUACUGUGCUUGGACCAUCACCCUAAAUAAGUCUAUCUCACUAAUUAGCAUUUGUAGUUCUACACUCCUUAACCUCACUAUUAUUCACUCCAGACAUAAAUUUGCUCAUCUUAAACCUGCUAUCUGCUACCACAUGAGGAGCAUAUCUAGCUAAUUGAAUAAACUUUAGAGAACACUCUUUCACCAUCAUGUUGCCCUACUUUAGAUUAUUACAUUCCAAAACCUUUGCUUACCUCAAAUCCUAUGGGAAGAACCUAUCCAGAAAAGUAGUGGCAAACUCCUCCCAUUCUAUGGGCCCUGCAUCUGUGGCUCUCUCUGCUUUUCACUAUUUAAACCAUGAGUGAGCCAUAUCCUAUAGCUGAUAUAAAGUUAACUCAACACUCUUACUAGCUGUUACCCCCAUAAUAUCAGUAAAUUUCUGCACCUAGUCAAGAAAUUCCUGAGGGUCCUCAUCUGAUUUAGACCCGAUAAAAGAUGGAGGGUUCAUUUGGGUUAAAUUCUUAAUCCUGGCAGCAGCAGUAUUGGCCACUGGAUUGGCUGGAAGAACAGCUGGACGCUUAUUCUAGGCUACCAAAGCAUGGGCUAGGGUGGUAAAAGCUAUUUUGAACUCAGCGUAGGAGACAUGUUCGUCCAGAGAAUCUAGAUGAAUGGGCUGAAGUUCUGGAUGGUCUCCCAUUCCUUUUACCUUAGUUCUUUUGGGAAGCAUGAUCUAUAAAUAGAAGAGAAAUUGAAUUAGAUAGAGAGUUUAACUGGAGAUCAUGCUUAAUUGUACGAUGUGAAUACUGAAGGAAUGGAAACUAUUCAUAAAAAUAUCUCGCAGCCUCCUAUCCAAAAGUGUGGCACACUUCAUACCCAUGCACAAAACUCUACUAGAUGCGGCUUCCAGACUUCCUAGGACUCUAUUGAACUUUAGGCUCUAAUACUAAGUUUGUAACGCCUCGAUUCUAUAUCCCAGAUGCUACAUAGUGCUCAUAAUCUCGAAGGACCACAAGCUAACUCAUGAUUGGUACCUGCUAUAAUAACUAAAUAAUAAUACUGUAAUUAUGCUAAAAUUAGGUGGAAAUAUGCCACAAGAUUCAAAUUUAAAUGAUAACUCUGAGUACGGUAUCGAAGUACCAAAACAUGUACAAAAUAUUGAAAUCUAAAUAACUGUCUGAAAAUACUAUAGUUUUGAAAAGCCUCUAAACUGUCUGAAGUAUGGAGUUGAUGGGAUAGGCCCCCAAAUAACUCCAACUACUGAAAGUAAUACUAAAAUAUCAAAAAAAAACAUGUUCUCGAACUAUGAUGACUCACCAAUACCUCUGACUGUUGGAAAUCUAAUAUGCUAGGGGUGCUCUGGAGCUUAUUCAUCUAAACUUAUGAUAUAAUACAUCACAGCACAAAAAACUUGCGUCAGUAAUUUGAAUGUACUAGUAUGCUCAGUGAGGUAGGCUAAAUACAUUGGUUCAUAUGCAUGAACAAUACUAACUGAAUAACAUGAGUAUGAUUGAAUGAUGGUACAUGCAUGAAUACAUAAAUUGUAAUCUAAAAAUAUGAUAGUACUGAAUACUAAUCUGAAUACUGAUUUAACUGAGGUUUGAUUUUACUAAUACUGUAUUAUAGUUAAAUAGGUGACUUUAUCUGUUAGUCCUGAUUCUAAGGAACUAUACUGAGUUUUGUACGGAACUGAGUGACUAUGUCGGAUAGUCCUGAAUCUAUAGUACUAAACUAAGACUGAAUCUGAAACUUAAACUGUGGGAGGUAAUCAUCUAACCAACAUGCCUUUUUUUAAAUAUAUUUAGGGUCCAACCUAUAAACCUAGUUAGAAGGGUUUCAGUACCAUGCCAUUGGUAAAGACACUGAAAAGGUACCCUCAUUUGGAAGGUACUCUAAUGAGAAUGGUGGAACCCUCAACUGACAGGUUAAAACACCUCAUCAACCCUCAACUGGCAGGUUUGAUGUCUCAACCUGCGUUGUCUACGUAGUUCUAGAAUGCAAGGAUUUUUUCUAAGAAUCACACCCUCUACUGUCAAGUGAGUCCCCAUCCAUAGGUUCAUACGGUGCUGAAUCGUACUCCUAAUUGAAUAUACACUGUACUGAUUUCUAAACUGUACUAGACUGGACUAAACUGUUACUGAUUGUAUUGUCUAACUGAACUGAAUUAAGUUCACUAAGUUCUGUUGACCGAUAGGAUACUACUGAUCUCUAAAACUGACGGAGGUUACUGAGGCCUAAACUGAAUACUGAACUGGAUUGAAUCGAUAGUGAGUUUAUUGAGUUUCCUGAGUUCUAAAAUUUACUAAGAAUACUACUGAUCGUGACCUGACUGAGACUAUCUAUAACUGACACUGACUCUAGGUAUACAACUAAGUUGUCAGGUAAUAAAUACCCCUAGGACUCGAUAGCGCAAAGUACAAAGCAUAACAUAAAUCUUGAAAGCACAACAAUAGUCACAUGUUCAUAUUUCACUUGCUACGACAUUUCAUCAAACACUUGUAAAUCUUGAACUUGCACAUGUAUAGGAAUGCAUACAAACAUGUCAUAAUUAAACUAACAAUUCACGUACUUUCUAGACAUGACUUUAAUAUGAGAGUCAUUUUUGAACAUGUAGUUCUAGCAUGAAGUCAUCACAAGAUCACCUAUGGAUCGCAAAGAACAAUUUAUACACUUAGGCAUUUUGACGAACACAUAAGAAUCAUGAACUUAGGCUUGGGCAUGAACAAAUAAACCAAUCCAUCAUGGAAACAUUAAUUAAUUCAAAUUCAAGGAUUUCAAUCCACAUGCUAACAUAAUUUCAUGAAAUUCAUUAAAGAUAUCAUCUUGUAAAUCAUACCACAAGACUAACAUGUGUACAAACAACCCACAACUUGGAAAUCAUGAUUCACGAUUUUUUAAAAGGGAUUCUUGAACUCCAAGGGUGAAAAGGGCCCUUGAAUGAACACUUCACAUACCUUGGUGCCUGAAUUUCUGAAAGUUAAUGGUGGAAUCUUAAGUUCUUAAUUUAAAAUUGAAGUUUCUAUGUUUUUGCUCUUGAGCAAAUUUGAGAAAAAAUGAGUUUAUUUGCUCCCUAAGAUCAUUUAUUUAGUGUUUUGGGGGCUGAAGAUUGAGGAAAAAAGACCUAAAUACCCCCAAGGAAGCGGUCUUUUAAUGACUGAAAAACUAUACCAUCGACGUGCCGUAUCGUUGGCAUCGACGCAAUAGCCAACGCGUUACAUCAAGUCCGUGUGGACUCACUAGAAAUUAACGCUGAGAGCUGGGGAAAAUAUCUAUCAAUGCGAUAGUCGAUGCGGUGAACCAAGAUAGAAUUGAUCUACUAUUUUAGGAUUCCAAAGGAGCUUUAAACAAAGUCCAAAAAUUCCAAAACAUGUCCAAAAAUACCUACAGACAUUCCUAAUCAUAAAUCAACCUAGAUAUCAACAUUUAAGGAUGCAGAAACCAUGAAAUAUGAUCUCCAAUUGUUGAAGGCUAGAAUGACUCUAAGUCUAAAUACUUAGCUAGAAUAUUCUGAGCUUGGGACCCCCUUGGCAAGCUUAAAGGGCUGAAUUAAGCUUUCAAUUUUGUGGGGUCUUACAUUUUACUUCUGAGCUAGAUGGUACACCCUAUAUUUCUAGUACCCACGGGUUAUAUGGGUCCGCUAUUAAAUUAUCAUCCUAGCCCCUUAAUCAAAGUUUUUCGCAAGGAUUGGGGUCCUAAAUACUAUUCUAGUAUAACAGUGACUCAGGGGCAAGUAUACAUUGGCCAUAGCUAAUCAUGUCUCCCGAAUUGACAAAACUCAAUUUCCUACAAUGAGCCUUUACACCUAAAUGCUUUCUUGGGGUAACCAUCUAAAUCUCUUUAAGUACAUUUAUAUUCCUUUAAGAAUCAUGCUUCAUGCUCAUAAAUAUUCACUUUUUAUUUUGGUAAGGGAAUGCAUAUUAUAAUAGGUUGUCAUCAUACCCAUAUUACACAUCAUUCAUAUCAUACCACAUCAUAUCCAUAGCCCUUUUUAUUCAAAAUCAUGUUAGUGACCACCCAAGAGAUUUAAACAUCACAUGAGAGAGUUCUUAUUUCAAAACACAUGAAAACUUAUGCAACCUACUCCCUUUUCAAUACUUUAUCAUACGAUGGUCAUCUCUUUCAUCAAUCACAUGUAAAUUCUUUAUUAGAAAACACGAGCAUUUGUAAAUUAAGGGAAAAACCCCUCUCACUCGUUCAUAAAACAAUUCAUAAACAUUAUCAAAAUAUUUAAACUCAAACUUUUAACCAUUCAUUUAAAAAAUACUCAACAUUGUUAAGACAAUGAGUUUCAUAACAAAAGAGGAAAUAAUGCAAAUCAUGCUCUCAUAUAACUUCUCAAAGUAAUAACACAUGCACAUAUGAAAAUAAUUCAAGUUUUAGGGAAACAACCUCAUAGUUUAUACAAGAUUUCAUUAUAAAACAUGGUUUACAAAGCAUGCUCUUCAAGAAUUUUAAAACCCAUCUCAUGUAUGAAAUUAUAUACCUUAAAAAAGCUUGUUUAAAUGCUAAACUUAUGCCUAUGGAAUUUAGGAUAGUUCCACAUACCUUUUAAUUGACAAAAACAUUGAAAAAGUUUACCAUUGAAGUUUAAUUCCUCAAAUCCUAGGUAGUUUCUCCUCUUUUGAUUAUGGAAUGAUAUUUGAGAAUUUGUAGAGGCAAUGUAACAUUUAUAAGGUGUUAAUUUCAUCCAAAGAGGGUUAGGAAUGGUUAUGGGAUGAUAAACUACCUUAAUGCCCUUAAAAUAAAUCAAACGGAGAACUUUUUGAUGCCCUAGAAAGUCUUUGAAUUUCAUGGCAAAAUAAAAUCUAAGGCAAUUUGCUAUGGCAAUUGCUUUGCAGUGUAGGACCAUCGCAGAUCCGGGACAGUGCCUCAUUCAAACACUCAUAAUUUUUUACUCCGGACUCGAAUUGACAAAUGGUCGAUUUCAUUAUAAAGAAGACUCGAAUGAAUUUAAUUUGAUAUCUAGUAGGAAACAUGGCUCUUUAUAUCCUAGGAGAAAUGGUCUCUGAAAUGUGACCCAAUAAAAAUUAGCAACUAAACGUCAAUCGAUAAGAAAGUUCUUAACUUAACUACUUAGCUAGGAGAUUUUUAUGGUGUAUAUUCAUUCCCAAGGAUGUUCCCACACUAAUGAAAUGUUAUUAAUACUUAUCUUAUUAGAAACCAUCGAGUUUGGGUCUAUAAUCAUUGGAAAGAUAGUUCAACUUUAGCCCAAAAGUGUGGGGUAUUACAAUAAAUAUCUUAAUAUUUUCUUGGCUAAGAUUUAUGUCUAAAUCCCAAUUACAAAAAGUUACUAAUAAAGACAAUCAAGUACAUCAAAAAUGGAGGAAAAGUUACUAAUAAAGUUUCCAAAUGACUUGUAGUGAAAUCCCCAACGUGUGUCACCAACUUUAAUAAGAUUAGGUUCUUGAUUCAAACCUCUACCCAUUUCUAGCUCACCUAUAUCUAAUGCCUCUUGGAGUUUUUAUUUUUGAGAUUAUCGAAAUUCAUCCACACAUUUAAAGGAAUUCCACAACAUAUUCAAAGUAUUGCAAUCAAUAAUAUAAGUUCUCUUACUUGAACACACCUUUUAGAAACUACAACUAGAAUCAAUUGAAGUUGAUUUAACACUGCCUAACUCAACUUGUGUAUUGAUUUCCCCAUCGUAACAUUGCCCCCGAACAUUUGCUAAAGUUAAAGAAUGGUGAGCAAGUGCAUCCACAAUUGCUUUCUUUAGAGAUACAAACUUGUAUCUUUAACAUGAACAAUUCCAAUGAAUGCUUUCAUGAAAAAUCCCUUUUUAUCAAUAUAUCGUAAACAAAUAACCAUUUUCUCUUUGUGUGAUAUGUAUCUUGAUUCAUCAACCCACAAAUCAAAGUAGUCACCAUCUAAAUCCUUUAUUAUAGCCCUGAUUAUUUCAAUCUUACAUGCAGUCACAAUAUCUUUUUGAAUAUCAUGAGAAAUUAUUUUAUUAUUUCUUAGAGCUUUUUCUAACACAUAAAUUUUAAUGUCAUCACAUCUAUCCGCAAGUCAAGAAAGUUCUUCAAGAAAAUUAUCUUAGCUCAAGGAUGAUUCACUUUUAUCAUGACCACAGAGUGCUAAACUUUGAUGUAGAAGAAAUUGGACCACAUCGAUUGAAGCAUUUAAUCGAACCUGAUAUUCAUUCUUACUUUUCUCUUCUAACUUGUAAAAUGUAGCCUCAAUAGAUUGUUCUUCCCUAUUAUGAUCUUCACACUUCCUUUUUUAUUGAUUAUGAAUGCUAUUCGGAGGACCAAUUGUGUUGCAAAGCUAUCUUUUCUAUGCCAAUUUCUAAAUACCUUUGUCGAAAAUGUAUUAUCCCUACCUUGAUGAAUGCUUUCGCCUUGAAGUAAAUAACAAAGCAAACAAUAAGCUCCAUUUGCACUUACACUAUAUUCCAACCAAUAAGAAUAUUUGUCAAACCAUUUAGAAACAAAAUGAUGUAGAGUUCCAAAAAAGUCUACUUGAGGAAACUCAUGAUCACGAGGUUGGAAAGGACAUUUUAGAGUGUAUGCCCUUCAUAUCUCAUCAUGAAAGUUCAGAGGAUAACUCAAAAUCGGAGGUCUUUCAACGGGUUCAGCCUCUAAAUCAUUUACAUCAAAUUUCUGUCUCUGAGAAGACUGAGAUUUUUUUCUAUUUGAUUAACAUCUUCAUCUCUGCGUGAUUCAUUUUGAGACAUUGAACUUAUUUUUGAAACUUUACGAAAAUAUUUCUCCAAGAUCAUUGAAACCUCAAACUUAAAUAGAAGUCACGUGCAUCAAACUUAUUAUUCAAUUUCAAAAAAUAAAAAUAAAAUCAACUUGAAACAUUGUCUGAUUCCCCGGAUACUAUUAACUAGCAAGUUAUCUACUACAUGAAACUAGAAUAUUAAAUUUACUUUGUCUAAAGCCAAGAAAAUGAAAAAAAGCAAGUUCAAGUGGGAAAAAACAAACUAACGGCUAAGAUGAAUUAAAAAAAAACUUUUUACAAUUCACACUUCAAUAACUGUUGAAAAAAAUUUAUAAUGAUAGCUCAUUAAAACUUGAAAGCCUUAUCACCAAAUUGUUGAUUAACAAAUAUCUAAAAUAGCAAGAGGGGUAAAGAAUUUUAUUUUCAAAGAAACAAAGAAGGUGAAAGGCUGGAGUCUGUAGAAGUCGAGAGUUUAAAGAAGGGAACCUUGGUUUUGUUCAAUGUCCUAAUUAAUCUAUUAUUUUUUUAAUUUUAAAGGAAAGGUCCUUAUUUAAAGGUAAAAGGAAAAAGUCAAAGCCAUUAUUUAAUGGAUGAAAAUAGACAUCCGUGUUUUCUUUUUAGGGCAUAAGAAUUUUUUGUUUAUAUUUUUUGAAACAAAAAAAUAAGUAGAUUGAGCCGAGGCUAGGUUUGAACCCAUGCCGCUUGGGCAGAAUUGCACACCUUGACUUAUAAUGCCACGGGAGUGCACCCUGGAUGCCACACGGUGCUUACGGUCACAAGUGACCACAAGCUAUCCCAUGAGCUGGAACCUGCUAUGAGUAUUGAAUAAACUGAUAAUAAAAGAUAUAUAUGUGUGGAAAAAACUGGAUAUGCCAUAGGGUCUAAAUACUGAAAACAAUACAACUAAAAUCCAAAAUUCUAAAACAUAAGCAAAAAUACUGAAAACUGACAACUAACUGGCUGUAUGAAAUAUUUGAAAACUUCUAAAACUGACUAAAUAAGAGUUAAUAGGACAAGCCCCAACUAACUCCGACUAUCUAACUAGAACCAAAUAUUGAAAUAAACAUAAUCAAUCCUCGAAAUAUGAGGACUCACUACUAUGGCUAUUGGUGAUGCGCUGGAAUGUCUAAGUGUGGUUGGGAACCUGAGCAUCUGAACCUAUGAUAUGAGACAUCAUAGCAAAAGAAACGAGUAUACGGGUAGUACUUUGAAUAUACUAGUAUGCUAAAUGAGGUUAGACUGAUAUGCAUGGGCUCAUGUGCAUGAAUAGUAACUAACUGAAUGAAUAGUAUAAGAUAACUGUUGCAUAGUAUGCGUAAAGGCUGUAAAAUUCUGAGAAUGCACGACAAAGCAUAUAACAUGAUAUGGGAAUAGUCUGUAAACAAAAAUAUUGAAACCUAAGUACUGCAUUAACUGAUAAACUGUAUGCUAUGGUCAAGAAAACCGAAACUGACUUCCAAACUGAGACUGGACUGAGACUGUGGGAGCUAUUAUCUAACCGACAUGCCCAAAUAUGAGCUAAUUGGGGUCCAACCAGUGACCCCAGUUGGAAGGGUGUCAAUCCUUUGCCAAGAGUACUAACACUAGUUGUGUGGAUCCACUAAAGUGAAGUGUCAAAGGACUAAAUAGUCACCCUCUACUGGCAGGUGCUCUAGUGAGAUAUAUGUCAACACUCAACGGGCAGGUUAAUAUUUUAACCUAUGCUAGCUACGUAGUUCUAGAACUCAGGGACUGCUACUAAAGGUCACACCCUUAACUGGCAGGUGAGCCUUCAUCCUUGGGUUCGCUCGGUGCUAAAUCCUCUUCCCAACUGGACUGACUUUGAUUACUAGACAGAACUAAGCUUACUGAUAUGAUAACUGACAGAAUUAAUAAUACUCUAAUAUAUUCAAAACCAUUCUAAAAAUAUUGAGACAAAGUAAAAGACUUAAGUUUUUGGAUAUUCAUAACCUCCAAGACUCGAUAACAUUAACUGUAGAAACUUACUAAAGCUUCAAAGUAACUAGUCAUUGUUCAAAAUCCAACCAUUUAGGAAAUUCAUCGAACACUUGAAAUUCAUGAACUUAGGCAUGGGAAUGAUUGAAAUAUGUGGGAAUAACAUAAUCACAACACUAAAACCAUACAUUGAGGAUUUAACGUGAAAUUUCAUGCUUCAAAUGUGUAAGGGAUACUUUCCAACUAAAAUCACUUGCAAACAUCUUGUAUAAUCAAAAUUCAUAAAAGAUUCAUGAAAAUAACUCAUUGUAAACAUGUAAAUUCAUGAUUUAAAGCGUAAAAAUAGGUUCUUGGACCCCAUGGGUGGAAAGGACCCAUGGAUGAACAUCUAACAUACCUUAAGGCUUUAAUCUUGCAAAAAAAUUAACUUUCUUUAUCGUUCUUGGGUGGUGAAGCUUGAAUUCUUGAAUUUUGUUCAAGGAAUAAUGAUUGAAUUUGAUGAACUUGGGUGAUGGCUAGGGUUUCUUUUAGAUAGGAAUUGAGGAAAUUAGGCAUACAAUGCCUUAACUGAUGAUUAAUCCCAUAUUUUAAUGGAUUGGGGCGGUGGAAAAUAACAAGACUGUCUUUCUGGUAUUUAAAUUCAUAAUUGAAAUGUGUAUUAGGGAGGUACCGAAAUGCGAUGAGCCAUCCAUUGGUAUUAUAGCUAUCUCGUGAUGCUAUUGAGAUAACUUGUUGUUUUUGAAAUCUAAUCAUGACCCAAACCUCAUCCAAAAAAUCUGAAACUUCCCUGGGAUAUGCUACUUACACCCCUAAACAUGAAUUAACUUAGAAAUCAUCAUCUCGGGGUCGUAAGGCCACUUUAAAAAUCAUUAAAGUUAAGAGGCCAAAAAUAAAACUAAGUCCCCAACAUUUAGCUAAAUUUUUAGGUUCUAAGCCUCUUGUGCAUGGAAUAUGGGUUGAACUGAGCUAAGACUAACAUGGGUAUUAUUAUAUCUCCCCCUUAGGAAAAUUCACCUUCGAAUGAGACUAAUUAAGCUGAGAAUACCUAGGAAAUUAAAUUCACUUACUGAACAUGCACAACUCAAAACAUGAUUACAUAAUUAAGUAUGAUACAUGAUACAUGACUGGACUGAUUUAAGAAUGCAUGUAAUGAAAGAUGAUUAUAUAGCCUGAAUUGAGAAUGAAAAGAGAUAAUCUAAGGAAAAUUGUUACCUUUAGCUGAGUUUGAGUUUGCAAAGAAAAGAUGAGGGUACUUGCUACGCAUGUCUGCUUCUGCUUCCCAAGUGGCUCCCUCAACGGACUGAUUCCGCCAAAGAACUUUGACUAAGGGAUCUUAUUUGUUCCUCAGACUAUAGGUUUGCCGAUUAAGGAUUUCGACUGGAAUUUCUUCGAAUAAAAAGCUAUCCUAAAUGCCCAUACUUUCUAAAGGGACUAUUACAGCUGGAUUGCCAAUCACUUCUUUGACAAAGAAACAUGGAAUACUGGGUGCACUGAUGUAAAAUCAGGGGGCAACUCAAGUUCAUACACUACUUUCCCAUAACAACUUCAGAUCUUAUAAGGGCCAACAUAUCGGGGACUAAGCUUCCCCUUUUUGACAAACCUCUUCACUCCCUUCAUGGGAGAGAUUUUCAAAUAAACUAAGUCGCCAACCUCAAACUCAAGAUCUCUCUUUCUCACAUCUGUAUAGAAUUUUGGUCGGAUUUAGGCUGUCUUAAGCCUUUCUCUGAUUAGCCUGAACUUUCUCCAAUGCAUCAAAUACUAAAUCUGACCCUAUUAUCAUGGUCUCACCUACCUCAAGCCAACUAAUAGGAGAUCUACAUCUUCUCCCAUAAAGAGCCUCAAAUGAAGCCAUCAGAAUACUUGAAUGAUAAUUAUUAUUGUAAGCAAACUCAAUUAAUGUAAGUAAUCAUCCCAAUUAUCCUUAAAGUUGAUAACACAAGCUCUCAACAUGUCAUUUAGGGUCUGAAUGGUCCUGUCUACCUGACCAUCUAUCUGCGGGUGAAAGGUUGUAUUGAGACGAACUUGGGUACCUAGACCCUUCUGAAAAGCUUUCCAAAAGUUAGAGGUAUACUAAGUGCCUCUACCUGAAAUGAUGGAGAAUGGGACUCCAUACAACCUGACCAACUCUCUAAUAUAGAACUUUCCAUAAUCCUCGGCCGAAUAAGAAGUAUAGACUAGCAAGAAACAGGCUAUUUUGGUAAUUUUGUCUAUAAUAACCCAAAUCAAAUCAUGAUGGCAACGUGAACGAGGCAACCCUAUCACAAAAUCCAUCUUCACCUCCUCCCACUUCCAAGUAGGAAUGUUGAACUCUUGUAUAAUGCUACUAGGCGUUUGGUGCUCAACCUUAACCGGUUGAUAAUUAGCACACUUGGCUACAAACUCUACAAUAUUUGUCUUCAUGCCACUCCAUCAAUAGAUUUUUCACAAAUCAAGGUGCAUCUUAGUGGCUCCUGGGUGAAUUAAGUAACCCACACCAUGAGCUUCUGUAAGAAUUUAAUGUCUCAAAUUGCUGACGUACCACACACAGAGUCAACCCUGUCAACGCAACACACCUCUCCUCCUUGAUAGAAAACCUCUAAAUUCUGAUUUGUGACUAACUUUUUCAACUUAACUAGGCUGGGAUUCGUAUCUUGAUUUUCUUUCACUUCGGCAACCAAAGAAGAUUCCAAACUAUUUCAGACCCAUACACUACCCUUAUCUGACUAAACUAAAUGAAGGGUUAACCUAGCCAACUGAAUAGAUGAGCCAACUUCUUAUUAUCAUUGUCAACAUGAGCCACACUAUCAAUAGAUAAUCUACUAAGGGCAUCUGCCACUACAUUGGCCUUGUCCAAAUAUCAUAAUCCUUCAAGAAUUCUAACCACCUUCUCUGAUGAAGAUUUAACUCUAAGUGAAAAAACAUACUGCAAACUUUUAUGGUCUGUGAGCACAUCAACAUGCACCCCAUACAGAUAAUGCCUCCAAAUUUUCAAGGCAAACAUAACAGCUACUAACUCAAGAUUAUGGGUAGGAUAAUUAUUUUUAUGGGGAUUAAUUUGUGUAGAAACAUAGGCUAUGAUCUUACCUCUCUGCAUCAAAACACAACACAAACCAACAUUGGAAGCAUUAUAGUACACAAAAAUCCUAUCUGAACUAUCUGUCAAGGUCAAAACUGGGGCUGAGGUGAGUCACGUUUUCAAAUCCUAAGAACUUUUCUCACUGGAAUUUGACCACUAAAACUUGACUUUCUUCUGAGUUAAUUUGGACAUAGGGGAUGUAAUAGACAAAAACCCUUCAAAAAAUUAUCUGUAAUAACUAGCCAAACCCAAGAAACUCUUGAUAUCUGAAGGAAAGAUAGGUCUGGGCCAGUUUCUCACUGCUUUGAUCUUUUGAGGGUCAACUAUAAUGCCAUCACCAAAAAUAAUAUGGCCAAGGAAAGCUAUUGAUCUUAUCCAUAACUCACACUUAUUGAAAUUUGUAAAUAAUUGAUGGCAUCUAAGAGUCUGUAUAACUAUUCUAAGGUGGUUUGCAUGAUCAGUUUCAUUAUGAAAAUAGAAAAGGAUGUCAUCUAUGAAAACUAUGAAAAACAUGUCCAAGUACUGCUUAAACACUCUAUUCAUCAAGUCCAUGAAAGCUGCAGGGGAAUUCAUUAGACUAAAGGACAUGGAUAGGAAUUCAAAGUGAUAAUAUCGAGUUCUGAAAGCUAUUUUUGAAAUGUCACAUUCUCUAACUCUGAGCUGAUGAUAGCCGGAUCUGAGGUCUAUCUUAGAGAAAUAAAUGGCACCCUGAAGUUGAUCGAACAAGUCAUCAAUCUGGAGAGUGGAUACUUAUUCUUGAUAGUGACUUUGUUCGGCUAACAAUAAUCGAUGCACAUUCUGAGAGAAUCAUCUUUCUUAUGCACGAAAAGGAAUAGAGCGCCCCAUAGGGAAAUACAAGGCUGGAUAAAUCCCUUACCAAAGAGAUCUUACAACCAUUCUUUUAACUUCCUAAAAUCCAUGGGAGCACUUCUAUAGGACGAAAUAGAAAUAGACUAGGUAUCUGGAAGAAGGUGUAUUUCAAACUCGAUUUCACUUUCGAGAGAAACUACAGAAAGAUCUUUGAAAAACACAUCUGGAAAUUCCCUCACUACUAAAACUAACUCGUGAUUGGUAAUCUCUAAACUAGAGUUUUUAACUUGAACAAGAUGAUAGACACACCUCUUGGAUAUCAAUUUUCUCACUAUAAGGUAUGAAACAAAAUGACCCCUAAGUGUUAAAGUACUACACCUCCAUUCAAGGAUUGGUUCAUUUAGAAAUAGAAAAUGAACAACUAUAUUUCUUUAAUCAACCGAAGCAUAGCAUGAGUGGAUCCAAUACACAUCGAAAAUGACAUCAAAAUCAGUCAUCUGUAACUCUAGAAGAUCAACUGAGGUGUGUUUCUGGGAUAUUGUGAUCGGACAGUUCCUGUAUACCUGCCUGGAUAUAUUAGAGACGCCUAUUAGAGUGGACACUGAGAAAGGUUCUGCUAAAGUCUCAAGCCUGAUAAGAAAAUUAAUAGCUAUAUAGAGAGUUACAAAAUAAAGAGAAGCUCUAGGAUCUUACAAGGAAUAAACAUGUAAAUGAAAGACCUAUAAUGUACCAGUAACUACAUUAGGAGAACUUUCUUGAUCCUAUCAAGACUGAAGUGCAUACAAUCUGCUUGGGUGCUGACCACUAGUUAUGCUGGAAGUGGCACUCUAUUGGGUCAAGUGAUUGGAUGGAACUUGGGGAUGAUUGGACUGACCCUACUUACCAUUAUUUAGGCAAUCCCUGACUCUGUGCCCUGGCGUGACACAUACAAAGCAUACAUCAUUGCCAGAUCUACACACACCCUGAUGGUUUCUACCAUAUUUCUGGAAAAGAGGAUUUGUACGACCACUGUUCACACUACCUUGGGACUUAGAUCCGGGUACCCGAUCUAGAUUAUUAUUUCUGAACUUCGGCACUAGUUCACUAGCUGAAGAUGGAGCUGGGACUGAUAAUUUCUGACAGAAUUGAGGAUGGUAACCACCCUCUAACAUCAGCUGAGCAAAACUAAAGCUACCUUUUUUGGCUCUCUUAUUCUCCUUCUCUUUCCUUAAAUUUGUGCUCCUCAAUUUGUUGAGCAUGGACUAUCAGCCUAAAUAAGUCCAUCUCCUUAAUCAACAUCACAAUCCUACACUCCUUGACCAUGCUAUUAGCUACCCCAGAAACAAACUCACUCAUCCUAGAUCUGUUAUCAAACACCACAUUAGGAGCAUACCUGGCUAGUCGAGUAAACUUAAGAGAAUACUCUUUCACACUCAUGUUCCCCUACUGCAAAAUGAUAAACUCUUGUACCUUAGAUUUCUAUAACUCAAAGGUAAAUAAAAUAUCUAAAAAGGAUGUGGAAUACUCCUCCCAUUUAAUAGGCCCUGUAUCUAUGCCUCUAUCUCCCUUCCACUGCUUAUACCAGGUAUGGGCAACAUCCUACAACUGGUAAGAUCCCAACUCCACACUCUCACUAGAAGUCACACCCAUAAUGUCAGCUACCUUCUAAACCAUGUCAAGGAACUCUUCUGGAUCCUCAUUAAUCUUGGAUCCCAAAAACAAAUGAGGGUUCAUUCGAGUUAAGUCCCGAAUCCUAGCUGCGAUAGUAUUAGCCACUGAAAUGGAUGGGACAAUAGCCUGCUGAUUAUUAUAAGCUUCUACUGAGUGAGAUAAAGUAGUGAAUGCAGCUCUGAAUUUUGCAUGAGAAACAUGCUUAUUCAGGGGAUCUUCCUGAAUAGGCGGAGGUGCGGGUUGAUUUCUAUUUCUUUUUAUAUUCGUCUUUCGGAGAUACAUGCUCUGAAAUGGAAAGAUUAGAAAGGGAGUUUAAAUUUAUCUCAUGCUUAUUUGCAUGACAUGAAUACCAAAAGAAGGAAAACUUCUCCUAAAAUGUCUUAUAGCCUCUUGUCCAUAGGUGUGACACGUUUUACACCCAUGCACAAGACUUUAAUCAACCCGUCUUUCACACUUCCUAUGAUACUUUAAAACAUUAGGAUCUGAUACCAAGUUUGUAAUUCCCUGAGAGUGAACCCUCGACGCCACACGUUUUUUACGAUCACAAGUGGCCACAAGCUAACCCAUGAGUUGGUGCCUACUGUGAGCACCGAAUAAACUGAUAAUAAAAGAUAUGCUUGUGUAUAAAUAGUUGGAUAUACUAUAGGGAUUAAAUACUAAAAACAAUAUAAUUGAAAUCCACAAUUUUGAAACAUAAGCAAAAAUGCUCAAAACUGACAACUAACCAAUUGUCUAAAAUGUCCGAAAGCAUUUAAAACUGACUAAAUAAGAUUUAAUGGGACAAGCCUCAACUUAAUCCAAUUGUCUAACUCGAGUAAAAUACUGAAAUAAACAUAAUCGUUCCUCAAAAUAUAAGGACUCACCACUGCAAUUCAUGCUGAUGUGCUAAAAUAUCUAAGUGCGGUCGGCAACCUGAGAGUCCAAACCUAUGAUAUGAGACAUCAUAGAGCAAGAAAUGAGUAUGCCAUCAGUACUUUAAAUGUACUGGUAUGCUAAAUGAGGUUAGGUUGAUAUGCAUGGGCUCAUGUGCAUGAAUAAUAAUUGAAUGAAUAAAUAUCAUGAGAAAACUGAUGCAUAGUAUGCAUGAAGGCUGUAAAAUCUGAGAAUGCAUAACCAAGCAUAGAACAUAAUAUGAGAAUAGUCUGUAAAAUAAAAUACUAAAAUCAAAGUAUUGAUUUAACUAUAAACAUUAUGCUAUGGUCAAGCAAACCUGAGCUGACAUUCAAACUGAGACUGGACUGAGACUGUGGGAGCUGUCAUCUAACCGACAUGCCCCAAUAUGAGCUAAUUGGGUCCAACCUACGACCCCAGUUAGAAGGGUUUCAGAACUAUGCCACGGAUACUAACACUGUCUAUGUAGAUCCACUAAAGUGAAGUUCCGAAAGACUAAAGAGUCACCCUCUACUGGCAGGUGCUCUUCUGAGAUAUAUGUCAACCCUCAACUGGCAGUUUAAUGUCUCAACCUACGCUGGCUAUGUUGUUUUGGAUCACAUAGACGAUUACAAAAGGUCACACCCUUAACUGGCAGGUGAGCCCCUAUUUCUAGGUUCGCUCAAUGCUAAAUCCUACUCCCAACUAAACUGACUCUGAUUACUAAACUGAACUAAGCUUACUAAUAUGAUAACUGACUAAAUUGAUAAUACUCUAUUAUAUUUGAAACUAUUAUGAAAAUACUGAGGAUAAGUAAACAACUAAGUUUUUGGGUACUCAUAACCCUCAUGACUUGAUAAUAUUAAAAGUAGAAAUAUACUAAAGCUUCAAAGCAUAAUAAGUAGUUAUUGUUCAAAAUCCAAUCAUUUAGGCAUUUCAUCAAACACUUGAAAUUCUUGAACUUAGGCAUGGAGAUGAUUGAAACAUGUAGGAGUAACAUAAUCACAACACUAAAAUCAUACAUUGGGGAUUUAACAUGGAGUUUCAUGCUUCAAAUAUGUAAGGGCUACAUUCCUAAUAAAAUCACUUGCAAACAUCAUGACUAAUUGAAAUUCAUAAAAGCUUCAUGAAAAUAACUCAUUGUAAACAUGUAAAUUCAUGCUUUAAAGCAUAAAAAUAGGUUCUUGGACUACAUGGGUGGAAAGGGCCUGUGGAUAAACAUCUAACAUACCUUAAGGCUUUAAUCUUGUAAGAGAAUUAACUUUCCUAAUCGUUGUUGGGUGGUGAAGCUUGAAUUCUUGAAUUGUUUUGAAGGAAUAAUGACUGAACUUGAUGAAUUUGGGUGAUGGCUUGGGUUUAUUUUAGAUAGGAAUUAAGGAAAUUGGGCCUUAAUAGAUGAUAUGUGUUUCACAGAUUGGGGCGGUGAAAAAUGGCAAGACAUCCCUUCUGAGAUUUAAAUUCGCAAUUGAAAUGCGGAUUAGGGAGGUACCGCGAUGCGAUGAGCCAUCUAUUGCUAUAAUAGCCGGGCCGCGAUGCUAUCGCGAUGACUUACUAUUACCAAAGUCCAAACACGACCAAAACCUCAUUCAAAAAAUUCAAAACUUCGCUGAGACAUUCUACUUACACCCCUGAACAUAAAUUAACUUAGAAAUCAUCGUCUCGGAUUCGGGAAGGUCACUUUAAAAAUAAUCAAAGUUAAGAGGCCAAAACUAAAACUAAGUCCCCAACACUUAGCUAAUUUUACAGGUUCUAAGCCUCUUGUACAUACACUAUGGGCUGAACUGUGCUAAGACUAACACAGGUAGUACGUGACCUUUUGGCUGCGCUUCUCUAACUUUUCAUGAUUGUUCAACAAUAUGUAUAUAACCAUAAAUAUCUUUAUUUAACCUAUAUAUUCAAAAAAAUUUUGAUGAAGUAUGUUUAUCUUACCACCCUUCAAUGGCUGUAGCUCAGCCCCUUCCACCCCUCUCUUUAAAAUAUACUAGUACUUCAUCAAUGCCAUAGAGAAAGAAAAUAAUCUACAAUCAGAGUACUCUUCAAUUGAAAAUGGAAAUAGACAUAGAAAUUGAAAUGGAAAUUCAGGUACAUUUGUCAUGAGCAAUCCAAAUGUGAUGAGAAACAACUUUGAUAUUGAUAAAUAUUAUUCAUUAAAAUUUUUAUUCAAAACUAUGUUUGGUACUACUACUAUUGAUCAUCCACACUACUUUGAUAAUAAUUUUACAUCAACAACUAGUAGUUCCAUUUUCGAUUUGCUAAUGUUUCCACCUCAUCAUGAACCCCUCAUUAACCUAUGAUUGCUACUUCUACAAUUCAAGAUUCAUCAAUAGCUGAUCAUAUGAUUAAUUGAUUCAGUUGUUAAGGUUUUUGUCCUAAUUUUCUUACAUAAUUUAAGUAUUACUUUUUCUUGAAAGGAAAAUAAAAGUAAUUACAUAAUCACUUUUACUUUUCCUUAACUGGUAAAGUUGCUGCCAUAUGACUAGGAAGUCACGGGUUCAAGCCUUGGAAACAGCCUCUGACAAAAAUUCAACGUAAGGCUGCGUACAAUACACUCUUAUGGUGGGGCUCUUCCACAGACACCGUGCAUAGAGGCAACUUUAGUACACCGGGCUGCCCUUUUUACCUUUCCUUAAAGGAAGAUAUAAUUCUUCUCCAUAUUUAGCCAAUCUCUUUCUUGGUGAAAAGGUUUUAAAACUAUAUAAAAAAAACACCCCUUUCUCAUGCAAUAUCACAAUAGCAUCCACAAUAUAGUUGUUUAAGAGUCUUGUUUUGGGAGAGAUUUUCUCUCUAUAGUUUUAUGCCAUCUUUAAUAUUGGUUUUCAUGUGUAGGUCAAUUGGCUAAAUAAUAUCAAUAAUAUGUUGUUUUAUUAUACUUUUAUUUGUCAUCUGAAUUAUCAUCUUCUUGAUUUACAAACUUUAAUUUUUCGCAUAUGGCCCUAUCAAUUUCGAACCUAGCAAGUGGUAUCAGAACCUAUGGCUCAAAAGUUCAAUGGUUUAGUGAAACAAGAUGAAAGACAGGUUCAAAGAAGUUUAAUAAUCAAGCUGCAAUCAGUUUUACAAUAAUGACAAUUUUCUUUAGUUAUAUGUGGAGAAGAAGUUUUAAGCAUAUUUCAACAAUCCUUUAGUUGCAUCUUUAAAAAUAAAAAAAAUAUUAAUUUUUAAUCUACUUUUAAUCAUAUUAUUUUAAAUCUUAUUUUUAACCAUGAAAAACAGUAUUGAUGAAGAUUAUGUGAAGAACAAAGUUCAUGCAUGUGAAGAAGGCAGAUCAAGUGAAUAACAUCAAGCCAAAAGGGGAGAUUUGUUAGAGUUUUUGCCCUAUUACAAAAUUUAAGUUUUACUUUUUCUUAAAAGAAAAAUAAAAGUAAUAUCAUAAUUAUUUUUACUUUUUCUAAAAGGAAAAUAUAAUUUUUUUUACCGUAUUUGGCUAAUUUUUUUUUUGGAGGAAAGAUUUCAGAACUCUAUAAAUAGAAGACCUCUCUUCUCAUACCUUAACAUAAUAGUAUCCACAAUGUAGUCACUAAAGAGUGUUGUUUAGGGAGAGAUUUUUCCCAAUAGGUUCAAUGAUUUUUGGAUAUUAGAUUUUCAUAUGUAGGCUAAUGGCCAAAUCGUAUAAUAAUAUUAUAUAUUUUUAGUAUUUUAUAUUAUGUCAUCUGAAUUAUCAAUGGUCUGAUUUGCAUACUUUAAGCUUCUGCAUAAUGCCCUCUUGAUUCCGAAUCCAAACCUAGUGACUCCAAAUUUAUCAUUGAUUUCUUCAUCAUCAACUGAAUUACCUGCUGAUGAGUAUCAACAAGAUAAAAUUUUACUUCUUUCUAGAUAAAAUGUAUAUUUUUGUUUGUCUGGUAGAGUAUUAGAAAACAUGAAAUUAACUAUGAUAAAAAUUAUAGGUAAUCCUUAGCUAAUUUGUCAGUAAAUAACUUCUAGCUAACUGGAUUUUCUGUAAAACGGUCAACUGUUGAGAUUAGUAUGAGAUUUUUGUUGUUUAGCUAUGAAAUUGUUUUCGCACUCAAUUCCUUGUUUUGUUUAAGUUACCCCAUAUUAGUUUCCCCCACCCCAUCCAUUUUUUUAAAAGAUCCUUUCUAAAUUUAUGAAUCUAAUAAUUUUAUGUUGAAUGAGAAUAUCGAGUUCUGAAAGCUAUUUUCAAAAUGUCACGUUCUCUCUAAGCUAAUGAUAGCCGGAUCUGAGGUAUAUUUUAGAAAAAUAACUGGCACCCUGAAGUUUAUCAAGCAAUUCAUUAAUUUUGGGGAGCAGAUACUUAUUCUUGGUAGUGACUUUAUUCAACUGAAGAUAAUUGAUGCACAUUCUGAGAGAACCUUCUUUCUUACGUAUGAAAAGGACUGAAGUGCCCAGGGGAAAACACUAGGCCUGAUGAAUCCCUUACCUAAGUGAUCUUUCAACUAUUCUUUUAACUUCUUAAGCUCCGCAAGAGCCAUUUUGUAAGGCAGAAUAGAAAUAGAAUGGGUAUCUAAAAGAAAGUCUAUUCCGAAGUCGAUUUCCCUUACGGGAGAAAAUUCGAGAAACACAUCUGGAAAUUCUCUCACUAUUGGAACUGACUUGAGAUUGGGAAUCUUUGAAAUAGAGUUUUUAACUCAAAUAAGAUGGUAUACACACCCCUUGGAUAUCAUUUUUAUCGCUCUAAGGUACGAAACAAGCUGACCCCUAAGUGUUGAAUUACUAAACCUCCAUUCAAGGGUUGAUUCAUUCAGAAACUGAAAAUGAAUAACUCUAUUUCUAUAAAAAAAAAAACUGAAGCAUAGCAUGAGCGGAUCCAAUCCAUUCCAAGAAUGACAUCAAAAUCAGUCAUUUAUAACUCUACAAGAUCAACUGAGGUGUGUUUCUAGGAUAUUAUGACCGGACGUUCCUGUAUACCUGCCUGGCUAUAAUAGAGACACUUGUUGGGUUAGACGCUGAGAAAGGUUUUGCUCAAGUUUCAGGACUGACAACAAAAUUAACAGUUAUAUAGGGAGCUACAAACGAAAGAGAAGCUCCGGGAUCUAACUAGGCAUAAACAUGUAAAUGAAAGACCUGUAAUGUCCCAGUAACUACAUUAGGAUAAAUUUCCUGAUCCUUUCAAGACUAAAGUGCAUACAAUCUGUUUGGGCACUGGCCAUUAGUUGUGCUAGAAGUGGCACCCUGUUGAGUCGGGUGAUUGGAUGGAACUAUGGGAUGAUUAGACUGACCCUGUUGACCACUAUUUGGGCAAUCCCUAACUCUGUGGCCUGAUUUGACACACCCAAAGAAUACAUCACUGUAAGAUCUACACACACCCUGAGGGUUUCGACCAUAUUUCUGGCAAAGAGGAUUUGUACGACUACUGUUCACACUGCCCUAGGUCUUAGAGACUAGCUCUCUAUCCCGAUUAUCAUUACUGAACUUUGACACUGGCGCACAAGCUAAAGAAAGAUAUGGAGAUGAUGAUUUUUGACAAAAUUGAGGAUGGUUAUCACCCUCUAACCUCAGCUGAGCAAAACUAAAGCUACCUAUUCUGGCUCUCUUAUUCUUCCUCCCUCUUUCCUUAAAUUUCUGCUCCUUAAUAUGUUGAGCAUGGACCAUCAAUCUCAAUAAGUAGAUCUCCUUAAUCAACAUCGUAGGGCUACACUCCUUGAAUACGCUAUCAGUUUCCCUAGAAACAAACUUACUCAUCCUAGACCUGCCAUUAGACACUACAUUAGGAGCAUACCUAUCUAGCCGAUUAAACUUAAGAGAAUACUCUUUCACACUCAUUUCCUGCUUUAAAUUUAUAAACUCCUGCACCUUAGCUUCCAUUAACUCCAAGAGAAAGAACCUAGCUAAAAAGGAUGUGGCCAACUCCUCCCAUUCAACUGGCCUUAUAUCUGCACCUCUGUCUCUUUUUCACUGCUUAUACUAGGUGUGAGCAAUAUCCUAUAACUGGUAAGAACCCAACUCUUCACUCUCACUAGAAGUCACACCCAUAAUGUCAGUUACCUUCUGAACUAUGUCAAAGAACUCUUGCGGAUCCUCAUCAGACUUGGAUCCCGAAAAUAGAGAAGGGUUCAUUCGGGUGAUGUCCCAAAUCCUAGCUGCGGCAUUAUUAGCCAAUGAAAUAGCCGUGAUAGUAACCUACUAAUUAUUAUAAGAUUCUACAGAGUGAGAUAAAGUAGUGAAUGCAACUCUAAAUUCGGCAUGAGAAACAUGCUCAUUUAGGAGAUUUUCCUAAAUAGGCGGAGGUGUGGGAUGAUUCCCGUUUCUUCUUUUGUUAGUAUUUCUAGGAGGCAUGCUCAGUAAAUGGAAAUAAAAUUAAAUUAUAAAGGGAUUUUAAAUUGGGAUCAUGCUUAUUCGCUCGACAUGAAUACUAAAAGAAGGAAAACUUUUCCUAAAAUGUCUUAUAUCCUCCUGUCCAAAGGUGUAGUGUUCUUCACACCUAUGCACAGGACUUUACUCAAUGCAGAUUUUAGACUUCCUAGGACACUUUAAAACCUUAGGCUCUGAUGCCAAGUUUGUACCACCCUGGGAGUGCACCCUAGACGCCACACGGUGCUUAUGAUAACAAGUGACCACAAGCUAAUCCAUAAGCCGGUACCUGCUGUGAGCACCAAUUAAACUGAUAAUAAAAGAUAUAAAAGUGAGGAAAAAGUUUGAUAUUCCAUAGGGCUUAAAUGCUGAAAACAAUACAACUGAAAUCCACAAUUCUGAAACAUAAGCAAAAAUACUAAAAACUGAUAACUAACUGACUGUCUGAAAUGUCUGAAAGCCUUUAAAACUAACUGAAUAAGAGUUGAUGGGACAGGCCUCAACUAACUCUAAAUUUUUAACUAGAAUAAAAUAUUAAAAAAAUAUCAUCGGUCCUCAAAACAUAAGGACUAACCACUGCGACUGUUGCUGAUGUGCUGGAAUGUCUAAGUACGGUCAGCAACCUGAGCUUCCGAACCUAUGAUAUGAGACAUCAUAUAAGAAGAAUUGAGUAUGCUGUUGGUACUUUGAAUAUAUUGGUAUGCUAAAUUAGGUUAGGUUGAUAUGCAUGAGCUCAUGUGUAUGAAUAAUAACUGAAUGAAUGAAUAGCAUGAGAUAACUGAUGCAUUGUAUGCAUGAAGGUUGUAAAAUCUAAGAAUGCCUGACCAAGUAUAUAAUAUGACAUGAGAAUAGUAUAUAAACUGAAAUAAUAAAAUUUGAGUAUUGAUUUAACUAAUAAACUGUAUGUUAUGGUCAAGCAAACCUGAACUGACUUUCAAACUGAGUUGGACUGAGACUGUGGGAGCUAUCAUCUAAUCGACAUGCCCUAAUAGAAGCUAAUUGGGGUGCAACCUAUAAAUCCAGUUGGAAGGGUAUCAGAACCAUGCCAUGGGUAAUAACAUUGGCUAUGUGAAUCCACUAAAGUGAAGUCUCAAAGGACAAAAUAGUCACCCUCUACUGGCAGGUGCUCUAGUGAGAUAUAUGUCAACCCUCAACUAACAGUUUAAUAUCUCAACCUACACUGGCUACGUAGUUCUAGAAUGCAGGGAUGACUAUUAAAGGUCACACCCUCAACUGGCAGGUGAGCCCCCAUCCCUGGGUUUACUCGGUGCUAAAUACUACACCCAACUGAAUUGACUCUAUUUACUAGGCUGAACUAAGCUUACUUAUGUGAUAACUGAUUGAACUGAUAAUACUCUAAUAUAUACGAAACCAUUUUGAAAAUACUGAGACUAAGUAAACACCUAAGUUUUUGGGUAUUCAUAAACCCUCGGACUUGAUAACAUUAAUAGUAGAAACAUACUAAAUCUUCAAAGCAUAAUAAGUAGUCAUUGUUCAAAAUCUAACAAUUUAGGCAUUUCAUCAAACACUUGAAAUUCAUGAACUUAGGCAUGGGGAUGAUUGAAACAUGUGGUAAUAACAUAGUCACAACACUAAAAUCAUACAUUGGGUAUUUGACAUGGAAUUUCUCGCUUCAAAUAUGUAAGGCUACUGUUGAUCAUCCACACUACUUUGAUAAUAAUUUCACAACAACAACUAGUAGUUUCAUUUUUUAUUUACUAAUGUUGCCACCUCAUCAUGAACCCCUCAUUAACCUAUGAUUACUACUUUUACAAUUCAAGAUUCAUCAAUAUCUGAUCACAUGAUUAAUGUUUCAGUUGUUAGAGUUUUUAUCCUGAUUUUCUUACCAAAUUUAAGAUUUACUUUUUCUUAAAAGAAAAAUAAAAGUAAUAACAUAAUUACUUUUACUUUUCCGUAACUGGUAAAGUUGCACUCAUGUGACCAAGAAGUCAUGGGUUCAAGCCUUGGAAACAGCCUCUGACACAAAUGCAAGGUAAGAUAGCGUACAAUAACCCUUGUGGUGGGGCCCUUCCCCGGACACCACGUAUAGAGGUAGCUGUAGUGCACCGGGCUGUCCUUUUUACCUUUCCUUAAAAGAAAAUAUAAUUCUUUUUCAUAUUUGGCCAACCUCUUUCUUGGUGAAAAGAUUUUGAAACUCUAUAAAUAAAACACCCCCUUCUCAUACAAUAUUGCAAUAGCAUCCACAAUAUAGUUGUUUAAGAGUCUUAUUUUGGAAGAGAUUUGCUCCCAAUAGUUUUGUGUUUACUUUAAUUUUAGUUGUCAUGUGUAGGUCAAUUGGACAAAUAAUAUCAAUUAUAUAUCUUUUUAUUAUACUUUUAUUUUUCAUCUGAAUUAUCAUCUUCUUGAUUUGUAAACUUUAAUUUUUUGCAUGAGCCACUACCAAUUUUGAACCUAGCAAGUGCUAUAAAAGCCUAUGGCUCAAAGGUCCAAUGGUUUGGUGAAACAAUAUUAAAGAAAGGUUCAAAGCUGUUUCACAAUCAAGAUGCAACCAGUUUUACGACAAUGAUAAUUUUGUUUAGUUACAUGUGGAGAAGAAGUUUUAAGCAUAUUUUGACAAUCCUAUAGUUGCAUCUUUAAAAAUAAAAAUAAAGUAUUAAUUUUGAAUAUACUUUUAACCAUAAUAUUUUAAAUCUUAAUUUUAACCAUGAAAAACAGUUGUAAUGAAGAUUAUGUUAAGGACGAAGUUCAUGCAUGAAGAAGGCGGAUCAAGUGAAGAACAUCAAGCCAAAAGGUGAGAUUCGUUAGGGUUUUUGCCCUGAUUUUCUUACAAAAUUUAAGUUUUACUUUUUCUUGAAGGAAAAUAAAAGUAAUAUCAUAAUUAUUUUUACUUUUCUUGAAAGGAAAAUAAAAGUAAUAUCAUAAUUAUCUUUCUUGGAGGAAAGAUUUUGGAACUCUAUAAAUAGAAGACCUCUCUACUCAUACCUUAAUACAAUAGUAUGCACAAUAUAGUCGUUAAAGAGUCUUGUUUAGGGAGAGAUUUCUCCCAAUAGGUUCAGUGAUUUUUGGAUAUUAGGUUUUCAUAUAUAGAACAAUGGUUAAAUCAUAUAAUAAUAUUAUAUUUUCUUUUAGUAUUUUAUAGUGUGUCAUCUGAAUUAUCAGUGGUUGGGUUUGCAAACUUUAAGCUUCUGGAUGACGCCAUCUCGAUUUCGAAUCCAACACCAGUGACUCCAAAUUUAUCAUCGAUUUCUUCAUCAUCAACUGAAUUACCUGCUGAUGACUAUCAACAAGCUAAAAUUUUACUUCUUUAUGGAUAAAAUGUAUAUUUCUUUUUGUCUAGUCGAUUAUUAGAAAACAUGAAAUUAGCUAUGAUAAAAAUUAUAGGUAAUCCUUAGCUAAUUUGUCACAUUAUAACUUCUAGCUAACUGGAUUUUCUAUAGAAUGGUCGACUGUUGAGAUUAAUAUGAGAUUUUUUAUGUUUAGCUAUGAAUUUUUUUUCCGCACUCGAUUCCCUGUUUUGUUUAAGUUGCCCCAAAUUUAGUUUCCCCUACCCCCUCUAUUUUUUUCAAAAGAAAAUCCUUUCAAUAUUUGUGAAUUUAAUAAUUUUAUGUUGAAUGAGAAGUUUUUAUAGCUACAUCAAUAAUAUUAAUGUUUUUAAAACAAUUCUCAUGUCUUACAUAUGUUAAUAUAUUUGUGUAAGGGUCAAAUACAUAACUAUAUAAGGUUACCAGCUUCUACAACACAUAAAAAUAUUCUGAUGAUAUAAUAUUUUUUUAUACCGACAAUGUAGAUAACAUAAAGUUCUACAAAGAACUUGCUUCUUUCUCUAUAUCUCUCACAUUUAUAUUACUUUCUUCACUUUCUAUUUUUAUUUGAAAAAUUAAACAUUCUUUCCUUUAAUUUUUUAUCUUUAAUAAUAACAUGACCUUAUAUAUAGUUACAAGAAUAUGAUGACAUGUUUAAAAUUAUAAAUUCUACGGACAAUUCCAGAUACAUGAAAAGAGUUGAAGUUUUCAAAUUCCUUGUCUCAUGAAAUAGACAGUGUACAAAAGGAUUGUUCGAUGCUCAAAGCAUCUCGCUUAUGAAUAUUUCCUUUUUCCUUUCGUCAGCAGCUAGUCUUAUAAUGCAAGUGUGAGAUAUAUGCAUAAAAUGUCUUGUGCAUGCAGGAACUACUAUCAUUGCACAACAACAUCAUGUAGUGUGAAGAAGAGAGUGGAAAGGUCAAUUCAACAUAUUUCAAUCGUUAUUACGACUUAUGAAGGUACACACACGCAUCCCUGCCUCGUAACGCCUAAGGGUUAUGUCGGCGUUCAGACGGUAACCACCAACUACAAUGGCUUCAUAGGUGGUGGUGAUAGUAGAGGAAGAACUUGUUAUGGUGAUUCCUCUUUCUUAUUUUCAACUAAUAAUUCAUGAGAAGAAAGAAGGUUCUGGAGCUCUUUUUCCUCUUUGAAUGAAGAUCAUGGACUAAUUCAAAGAUAUGAUGUCAUCACAUAUGAGAAGAGAUCUUAUAGAAGAGUAAGAAAAGAAAUUAGGAUAUAUAUACUCAAACCCAAUUUAUUUGGGACUGAGUAUGACAGAUAAUAAAUUUUAUAAUGCAAUGGUUCGAUUAUAUAACUAAAAUACACUCAAACGCUUUUUAUAUUUUGGACUAGUUUUGCCUAAUUUUUUCUAAUCUUUUUUUGUGUUUCUUUAUAUAUUUUAGAUAAUUGUGGUUUUCUAUAUUUUUUAAGAGAAUAAAAUACAAAUUCCCAAUUCAAAAGCUUUAUAUUAAUCAUCACACAAGUUAUUAGUGAGUCUAAUAUGAUAUUUCAUUGUGAAAAGAAAUAUUGUAAAUUUAUAUUAUUAACUGGUUGUAGAUGACAACUACCAGUAUCUUUUUAAAUAAAAAUAUAACAAUCUUUUGACCAUCUUACCAUUUGAAAUUAAUGCAAAUCCAUCAUAAGAUUUCAUCAAGUAUAGUUCUUGCAUACUGUCAUCAUUCAACUGUUUCACUACAAUCACCUUUUACAUAGCUUUUUAAUUCUAAUAGCUUAUUUUAUAUAUUGAUUUAGCGAUAUUUAGAUAGAUUAUACACAUCUUUACCACACGAUCAAAUGAGUUUAUCACCUUUUUAAACUUCUCCUGUUAAAUUAGAACGCAUAAAAUAAAAUCUGGGAUAAUAUGAUACUCUAAGCAAUAGAAACAAAAUGAUAAAUUUAAUAUUAUGGCUUAAUAGCACUUAUUUUAAAUAUAAUUAUAACAACCUUUCAAUCUCCUUACAAAUAUUAUUCUAAGUUUUUUGUAAAAAGGUCCCUUUUUAAUUAUCUUGAAUUUUAAAUUGUUAGAUCUCGUAUCCCAAUACCGUCCAAUCUCGUCACCAACCCUCAAUUCAAGAUUUGCAAAUAAAUUCUCACAGGCAAUUGUGUAGUCUUUGCUAAGCUCCAUCAUCUGAUUGGAAGCUUGAUGAUUUUUAGAAUUUGCCACACCAGUAACAUCCACUAGUUCUACUUCCUCCUUGUUUCCUUUCUUUAUCAGCGUGACCAUAUCUUUCAUCCAAUGCUUAAAUAUGUGGAUCUUCAUAUCCUCGAACGACAAUACUAAUAUCGUCACGGACUUCUCAAAGUCCAUGAUUAUUUUGGUAAUAGUCCAUGGAUUUUGUACAUUCAUCCAUACUUCUUCUUCUGUUUUUGAUGGGAUGAAAUUGUCCAUGAAAGCCUUUUUUCUAAUAAUAAUAAUAAUUGAGAAAAAGUGUUUGAUGAAUUUUCACAAUGUUGAGCAAGGAUGAAUAGAAAUUUAUAGGGAUGUUUUGUGUUAAAUUUGGAAAGCAUAUGACACUAUAAAUUAUUUUCCUAAUAAAGUUUUUGUAUAAGAUUACAUAAUUAAGAUAAUUUUUUCUUUGUGUAAAUUUGUACACCAAUUUAAAGAACCAUUUAGAAUUAAUUUAAUGACUUCCCAAAUUUUGACCAGUCAUAUUUUAAAUUUUUCUGGUUAUAUUAGAAAUUAAUUUAAUGACUUUCCAAAUUCUAGUCAGUCAUAUUAGAAAUUAAUUCAAUGCCUUUCCAAAUACUGGCUAGUCAUAUUUUGAUUUUUUCUUGACACCUUUCUACUACUACUACUUGAUUUGAUACAUUACGUCCAAAGCAUAUUUUUGUAGUUACAAGUAAUUUUAUUUAAUAGAAUAUAUAAUAAAUAUUAAUUAAUCGGUUAUAAUAAAUUAGCUUACACUAAUGACUAUAUAUCUAAUUAAUAGAAAAUCCAUCAGUAUAGGAGCUUAUAAAUCUCUCAAACAUUAGUUUUCAAAAUUAAACUUUCUAUCACUUAAAAAUCGUCUAGGUAUAUUGUUGUGUCAUACAGGUCCAUGUAUCAUGACAUGCGCAAGUAUUUCAGUAACUGAAGAUAAUUUUGGUAAUAAAAUCUAUUAAUUCAAGGCGAAAAUCAAGGGAUUAACGAAAAUAUAUAUCUUGGUGAUGUAACUUGAUUAAUUUCAUUGAAUUACCUUUUAAAAUAUUAAAUUUGUUAGUGAAUCAGAAAAAAUCGAGUUAAUUAGGUCUCAAAACAUACACCAAACACCGAAUGAAAAUCAAAUGAAAAUACUAUAUAUGUAGUCUAACAUAUUAGGUGUAACGCCCUGAGUCUGUACCUCGGACGCUACACGGUGCUCAUAAUUUCGAAGGAGAACAAGCUAAUCCAUGACUGGUACCUGCUGCAAUAACUGAAUAAUAAUAAUGUCAUAUGCAGAAAUUAGGCAGAAAACAUGCCAUAAGGUUGAAUACUGAAAUAAAACUGAAUACGGUAUAACAAAUACCAAAUUUGAUACAUGUGUCUAAAAGUAUUCUAGUCUUAAAAAGCCUCUAAAUUGUCUGAAAUAUGGAGUUGAUGGGUCAAGUCACCAACUAACUCCGAACUACUGAAAUAAGCUGAACUACUGAAAUAAUCAUCAUGUUCUCUAACUAAGAGGACUCACCACUUACUCUAUCAGCUGAAUAUCUGAACUGCUAAGUUUGAUCAGGAGCCCGCGCGUCUGAACCUAUGAUAUAAAAUAUCAUAGCGCAAAUGAAAGGUAUGUAUUAGUACUUUGAAUGUACUGGUAUGUAAAAUGAGGUAGGCUGAAAUGUAUGGGUUCAUAUGCAUGAACAAUACUGACUGAAUGACACGAGUAUAACUGAAUGAGAGUACAGGAAUGAAUACGUAAACUAUAAUUGAGAUCGUGCUAACACUGGAAUGCCAAAUUUGAGUACGGAUUAAAUGAUAUUUGAGCCUACUGAUACUCAAUUUUUGAUAGCUGAGUGACUGUAUCUGACAGUCUUGAAUCUGUGAAACUAUACUAAGUUCUGAUCUGAGUUUAGUAACUGUGUCUGACAGUUCUAAUUUUUUGUAGAACAGAACUGAGUUCUAUACUGAGACUAGAAUUGAAACUGAGACUGUGGGAAGUAAUCAUCUAACCAACUUGCCCCUCUUUGAACUGAUUGAGGUUCAACCUGUAACUCCAGCUGGAAGGGUGUCAGUACCGUGCCAUGGGUAAAGAUAAGCUGAGUCACCCUUAUCUUCCAGGUGCUCUGAACGAGAAUAGUGGUACCAUCAACUAGAAGGUAGAUCACCUCAUCAACCCUUAACUGGCAGGUUGAUGUCUCAACCUACGCUUGCUACGUAAUUCUGGAACACAAAUACUGUUUCUAAGGAUCAUACCCUUUACUGGUAGGUGAGUUCCCAUCCGUGGGUUCACUCGAUGCUGAAUCCUACUCCCAACUGAAUUGACACUGGACUAGAUUCUAGACUAUUCUAGGCUGGACUGAGCUGUUUCUGAUCGUACUGUAUAACUAAACUGAACUGAGUUCACUGGUUUCCGUGGACUGAUGGAAUACUACUGAAUUUUGUUAUGACUAAAUUCUACCAAUCGUGACAUGACUGAUACUAUCCCGUGACUGACCAUGGCUCUAGGUAAACAGCUAAAUUAUCGGGUAUUAAAUACCCUCAGGACUCAAUAGCAUAAAUUGUAAGACAUGGCAUAAUCUUGAAAUAUGAUAGCUAAGUACUUGGUCAUCGUACAUUUGUUUGGGACAUUCUAGCAAACACUUGCAUGACAUAAACUUGAAUAUAUGCUGACAUGAUAUAAUUUCACUAUUCAACUAACAUAAAUAAUUCAUUAAACACUUGAAGGAAAUAAUCUAUGCACAUGACACUAACACAAUAUGUAAGCAUCAUAGUUCAAUUCCUCAUUUACAACUUCAAAGGUUUCAACAUGGUUUUGCAUGAUAAUGCACACAUAUCAAUCAAUUCCACAUGAAUCUUGUAGUAAAUCAUGAACUAGAAACCCCAUUAACAUGGUAAUCAUGAACUCAUUCAAAUUCAACCAUAAAAUUCAUCAAACUCAUAAACUUGUAGUUAAAAAGGGUUCUUGAACUCCAAGGAUGGAAAAGAACCCUUGGAUGAACACUUGACAUACCCUGGUUGCUAAAUUCCUGAAGAACAAUGUUGGAAAUCUUGAGCUGAAAUUAAAUCACCUAGAGUUUUUGUUCUUGAGCAAUUUGAUAAAAAGUAAGUAUAUUUUGCUCAAUGAGGGUUGAAUCUCGUGUUCUAUGGCUAAAUAAGGGUGAAAAAAAGACUCAAAUACCCCCAAGGACGCGACUUUUAAUGACUAAAAACUGGUAUGUCGACGCGCAGGACAACGCGCCGCAUUAUUGGCAUCGACGCGAUAGCCAACGCGCCACGUCGAGUCUGCAUCGGUUCACUAUAAGUAGCCACUAGAAGUCAAGGAAAAAUAUUGAUCGACGCGAUGGCCGACGUGCCGCACUAAGAUCGCGUUGAUACACUAUUUUGGAUUCCCAAACGUGGUUCUAAUGAGGUCCGAAAAAUACGAAACUCGUCCGAAAACAUCUACUGACAUUUUUUAUCAUGAAUCAGCCUAAAGAUUGACAUUUUAAGGCCAUAGGGGCCACGAAAUAGAAUUUCCAGCUUACGAAGACUAAAAUAACACUAAGUUUGAAUACUUAGCAAAUUUUCUAAGUCUGGAACCCCUUAACAAGCUUUAAAAAGGGCUGAGUUAAUUUAAGGAUUUCGCGGGGUCUUACAUUAGGUUUCCUAUAAGCUAAGUGGAGCUUAGGAAAUCAAUUAUGAGUAAACGUUGAGCAAUAUGGAUAUAUUUAUGUAGGGUAUAUUAUAUGCACCCAUAGACGACUAUGCUUAGAUUUGGUUUUUCUUUAAUUAAUUUUUUUCCGGUCCAGUCCGGACCAUUUUAUUAACUAAAAAUUACACAAAUACACAACUUAUGUUUUCAAUAUUACAAGAAAUCCCAUCUCCCUAAACAUAUUAUAGAAAUCCCACAUAUAGACAGAAUGCUAUGUAUAUAUCGGUUAUGUUAUGUCUAUUAAUAGGGAGAGAGAGUAAAGUAAUAAAAAAAGUGGGAGAGAGUGUAAUUACUUUUAAAAUAUUGAUAUUUAUGUGAUUUAUACUUAUAUUAAUAAUGAGAUCUCAAAACACGGUCUAUAACUUUAGAUUGAUGGAGGGGCCCAAGCAAAGACCCGAUCCAAUAAAUUGAAAGAAUGCUUAGAGUUGUUUCCUUAUUAAGUUUAACAAAUUUUUAUUUAGCUUUCUCCUAUACUGAAUGAAAUUCAUAGCUUACCAUAGUCCUCCCCACCCCACCCCACCCUAUAGCUUCAUCUUUGUGGAAUAUAAAAAAUUCUUUAUCAUCAUUUUCCUAUAUAUCCUUGUUCAAAUAAAACAUAUAUAUGAUUGCCAUGGAUGAAAAGUUGGAAGCCAAUAAUUUUAAAGGUAAGUUUCACUUAGUGGAAAGCUCAUGAGGACUUUACUUUUUCUAUUUGAAUCAUUUCUACCGAGUUGUUUAGUGUAUAGUACUUUUUCAUAAAGCAUGUCUCACAAACGAAAAUAUUUAUUAAAAUAAGGAGAUCGCAAAAGUUUGACCAAACAGGCAUGCCCUUUUUUUUACUGUUUUUGUGUGGAAUUUAGCCUACGCGCAUUUAAUUUAAAUUAUGUAGCAAGUUCAAAGUAUAUCUAGAAAUGUGGAUGGUACCCUUUAAUAGUACCAUAUUUCAAUCAUGUAGAUAUAGUUAAUUCUAAUAUGAUGGAUUACCAAGUAUAACUUGUCAUAUGUGUCCAAAAUUAUUCCUGACAAAAAAAUAUUUAUUAAAAUAAGUCUAUUGUAAAGUUUAGCCAAACAUGCUAUAAGCCAGUCCUUUUCUCUUUUAUUGAAUUUAGACUGUCCAUUUUUAUUUGAAUAUAUAGCAAGUUUCAAGUAGCUAUAAAUGUGGAGGUAGCCCUUACCACAAUAUUCCAACAAUAUAGAUGGCACCUCUUAACUCUGAGAUAAUGGACUACCAACAAAACUUUCUUUUUGUGUGUGUGGAUUAAUGUAUUACUUAAUGUGCGUAAUACUUAUUUUGGGUCACAUUAUUUUACUGUUGUUGUGUUCAAUUUAUAUAUUUUCUUUUUUCAAACUAUUCAAAAAUAUUUUAUUUUAAGUCAGUUCUCUCCAUACCUCAUUUGUAUGAUUACCCUUUGAUAUGUUGUUGAGGUCUAUGUUUGUCUAUAAAAAAUGCAAGGACAAAAACAAUGACAAAAACUUUCUAUUUCCAAGUAUAAAAGGAUACACAAGUUUAUCAAUGUGCUAAUUUCAAGCCCAAAGAGCAAGGAUUGACAUUGAAGUAGAGCCAAGAAGAAGAUCAAUAAAAGAUACUUUUUUCAAGAAUGGCUGACCACUCAUGAAUUUUUUGUGAAAGAAAUCAAAGGCAAUAAGAUCAACUAAAGCCAUGUAUAUGUGUAUACCGGAACCGGAAGAUAAAGACCCCAAUAAACCUUCAAAGAUAAAGGCAUUUGGGCUUGUGUCACCAUAUCCUGCUAUUGAAAAAACAAUCAUUCUCAAUAUUAUACCCAAUAAUAGAUAUUUUUACCAAAAAUGUUCAAUCUUAAUUAACAAUUUCAACUUUUAUUCAAACACGUAUCAUUGAGUAGAUUCUAGAGCGGGCUAAUAAUAGUAAUUUUAGAUUCAAUCACAUAUUUGGGAAGGCGAUUGUUCUGCAGAUCCUUAGGAAAGGAAUAUAAAGAAAAUAAAAGAAGCUAUUUCACUUCCCUCACAGGUUAGAGCUACAUUAAAGUUUGAACAACAAAAUAUUUCAAAUUUCAAAUUCAGAACUAGCAAAAUAAAUUUCAAGUUUGCCGCAAGGAUUAGGGUCCUGAAUAAUAUUCUAGUGUAUCAGUGCCUCAGGGGAAAGUAUACAUUGGUCAUAGCCAAUCAUGUCUCCUGAAUCGGCAAAACUCAAUUUCGAGCAAUGAGCCCUUACACUCAAAUGCCUUCUUGGGGUAACCAUCUAACUCUCUUUAAGUCCAUUUUUAGUCCUUUAAGAAUCAUGCUUCAUGCUCAUAAAAAUUCACUUCUGAUUCUUGUAAGGGCAUGCAUAUCAUAAUAGGGUAUCGUCAUAUCCAGACUUGCACGUCAUUCAUAUCAUACCACAGCAUAUCCAUAACCCUUUUUAUUCAAAAGCAUGUUAGUGACCAACCAAAAGAUUUAAACAUCACAUGAAAGAGUUCUUGUUUCAAAACACAUGAAAACUCAUGAAACCUACUCCCUUUUCAAUACUUUAUCAUACGGUGGUCAUCUUUUUCAUCAAUCACAUGCAAAUUCUUUAUUAGAAAACACGAGCAUUUGUAAAUCAAGGGAAAAACCCCUCUCACUCAUUCGUAAAACAAUAAAAAUUCAUAAAUAUUAGCAAAAUAUUUAAGCUCAAACUUUUAAUCAUCCUUGUAAACAAUUCACAACAUUGUUAAGACAAUGAGUUUCAUAACAAGAGAGGGAAUAAUUCAAAUCAUGCUCUCAUAUAACUUCUCAAACUAAUAACAUAUGUACACAUGAAAAUAAUUCAAGUUUUGGGGAAACAACCUCAUAGAUUAUACAAGAUUUCAUCAUAAAACGUGGUUUACAAUGCAUGCUUUUCAACAAUUUCAAAAUCUAUCUCAUAUAUGAAAUUCUAUACCUAAAUAAAGUUUUUUUAAACGUUAAAUUUAUGCCCAUGGAAAUUAGGAUAGUCCCACAUACCUUUAAAUUGACAAAAACGUAGAUAAAAUUUUCCCUUGAAUCUUAAUUCCACAAACCCUAGCUAAAGACGGAGCUGGGACUUAGAGCUUCGCGCCCUAUCCUGAUUAUCAUUUUUGAACUUCGGCACUGGAGCACUAGCUGAAGACGAAGUUGGGGCUAAAGAUUUCUGACGGAAUUGAGGAUGGUUACCACCCUCUGGCCUUGGCAGAGCAAAACUAAAGCUACCUGUUCUGGCUCUCUUAUUCUCCCUCUCUCUUUCCUUAAAUUUCUACUCCUCAAAUUGUUGAGCAUGGACUAUCAACCCAGACAAGUCCAUCUCCAUAAUCAACAUCUUGGUUCUACACUCCUUGACCAAGCUAUCAGCUAUCCCAAAAAUAAACUUACUCAUCCUAGACCUGUCAUCAGACACCACAUUAGGAGCAUACCUAGCCAGCCAAGUAAACUUAAGAGAAUACUCUUUCAGACUCAUGUUCCCCUGCUUCAAAUUGAUAAACUCUUGAACCUUAGCUUCCCUUAACUCCAAGGGAAAAAAACUAUCUAAAAAUUACGUAGAAAACUCUUCCCAUUAAAUAGGACCUGCAUCUGCGUCUUUAUCUCUCUUCCACUGCUUAUACUAGUGUGAACAACAUCCUGCAACUGGUAAGCACCCAACUCUGCACUCUCACUAGAAGUCACACCCGUAAUGCCAGUUACCUUCUGAACCAUUUCAAGGAACUCCUGCGGAUCCUCACCAGACUUAGAUCCUGAAAAUAGAGGAGGGCUCAUUCGGGUGAAGUCCCAAAUCCUAGCUGCGGCAGUAUUAGCCACUGAAACGGCUGGGACAAGAUCCUACUCACUGAAAUGAUUGGGACAGGAUCCUAUUGAUUAUUUUGGGUUGUUACUAUGUGAGCUAUAGUAGUGAAUCCAGCUCUAAAUUUACCAUGAGAAACAUAAUCAUUUAGGGGAUCUUUCUGAACUGUCGGAGAUGCAGGCUGAUUCCCUUUUCUUUUUUCAUUAGUCUUACUGAGAGGCAUGUUUUGUAAACAGAAAGAAGAUUGAAUUAGAAAAGGGAGUUUAAAUUGAGCUUAUGCUCAUUCGCACAAAAUGAAUACUAAAAGAAGGGAAACUUUUCCUAAAACGUCUUAUAGCCUCGUGUCCAUAGAUAUGGCGUGCUUCACACACAUGCACAAGACUCAACCAAAUUCGGUUUUUAGAAUUCCUAGGACACUUUAAAAACUUAAGCUCUGAUACCAAGUUUGUAACGCACCGAGAGUGCACCUUGGAUUCCACACGGUGCUUAUGAUCUCAAGUGACCACAAGCUAACCCAUGAGCUGGUACCUGUUGUGACCACUGAAUAAAUUGAUAAUAAAAGAUAUACAUGUGCAGAAAAAGCUGGAUAUGCUAUAGGGUUUAAAUGCUGAAAACAAUACAAUGAAAUCCACAAUUCUGAAACAUAAGAAAAAGUGUUGAAAACUAUCAACUAAUUGACUGUCUGAAAUGUUCGAAAUCCUUUAAAACUAACUGAAUCGAAGACAUUUUUCAUUCAUCAAAUCAGUCUUCGUAGAUAAUCGGAGGCAUCCUUCAUUUAUCCCAAGUCCCCAUGAAUAAUCAAAGGCGCCAUUCAUUCUCAAGUUCUUGUAUACAAUCAGAGGCAUCAUUCAUCUUUUCAUUAAAAUAUAUAAUUAAAAAAGUUAUUUUCUUCAAAUUCCAUUCAAAAGGCCAAAUUCUAGCCAUAACUCAUACACUGGGGUAAAUUUUGAGAGCCGCCCCAAAAAUAAUUUUCUAUUUUCGCAUAUCGAACUACAUUGAUCUGAUUUUCUUGACACUCGAGAUAUGUAGGAAGCACUAUGCAGAGUUCGAUCAUGGCAAUGACAUAAUCAUUCUUUCUCCCCACCAAGUACUCAAUCUUGUAUCCCCAGCAUCUCACAGCUCGAUACUGGGAAAUUUCAAAAGAAGCAUCGGGAAUAUAUGAACACUUUCGUUCCCAAACAACCCUCCUCUCAAUAAUCAUUCCAUAUGAUCAUUUGCCCCUAAUAACAAGGCAAAAGGCAAUUGCAUGUUCUUUUAAACAACAUCCGACCUGAUCCUCAUACAGCUCGAGGUAUGUAGGUAACUUUGAAUUAGAGUUCGGCCAAAUUUUUUUCAAAAAAUAUAUAUAUAUCAUUUUUGUCGAGCAAAAUUGGCUACACGUCAACAUUUUCAUUUGAAUAUUUCUACAUCAUCCUCAAAUGAAAAGGGGCAACUGUUGACACCCAAUUUUUGCUCUUUAUGCCUAAAUUUAAUGUCUUCAGGCUUCCUGGCCAUUAAAGGGCACAAAAUAUAAUUUUCACAUAUUUUUACUUUUCUUAAUUUAUUGAUAAUUCUCUGUACAUUAGAAUUUUUAUCAAUUCAUUAUCAUCUGUAAUAUUUUUUCACAAUCAUCUACUCACAUACAUGACAUGACAUCACAUUUUAUAACAUUUUCAAAUUAAUUACUUUUUUUUCAAUAUUUUUAACAUUCUUUACAUUUUUCAAUAAUUACAAAUCAAUUUCUAUAUUUUUUACAGUCCGCAAAUAUUAAAUCGGAUCAAUUAUUUUUGUACAGUAUAGUAAUUUGAUGUCUUGUCACAUCUGAUAAGUACCACACAAUAAUCUCUAAUCACAUCCGACAAGUUAUUGAUAAUUGUCAUUAUUUUAGAAUUUUGACCAAUUUAUUGUCAUAUUUUAAUUUUACAUAUUUUUUCUUAAUUUCGUAAAUGUUAGGAUUUUUAUCAGUUUAUUACCAUUUUAAUAUUUUUGAACAGUCAUCUACAUACAUACAUAACAUAAUACUACAAUUCUUUUUACAUAUUAUAAUUUUAGUUGUUUAUAGUGUAAUACAUUUUUUUUCAAAGAUAAUUAUAUCUGUUUAUAUUUUUCUGUAGUUAUAUAUAUUGAUAUUUUUAUUUUGUACCUUAUUUAUUUCAGUCUACAGAAAUAAUAUCGGUUUAUUUUAAUAUAAAUAAUAAAUUGGUCAAAUCAAGGUCUCAUCACUCUUUAUCAGUUUUGACUUUAAUUUACCUACUACCCAAAAUUUAAGAAAUUUGUUGGAAGAAAUAAUUUCUUUUUUCCUUUUAUUUAUACCAACACACCUAUACAUAAUAGACACACAGAUUCACAAUACAAACACCUACACGUAUUUUUCUUUCUUUCCCAACACACACGCCUUUUUCUCUGUACAUCAGCAGCUACUAUCAGAGCUCCGGCGAACGGCUCCGGCCAACACAACCACUGUCACACUUCCCCUUCUUCUUUUCCCAAAUUCUGACCAUCAAACACCACCUCCAGCAGCACCACAAUGCUGACCAGCCAUCUUCACCAAAAAUCACUAUUUUCAAACACUUUGCGCCUCUUCUCUCCCACUAUCGAAGACAACACCGGCGAACUACCCCUGUCGCCCAUCUCUCCAUUUAUUUCUCUCUCUACCCUCACUGCCAACUGUUGGAUUUGACUAUCGAACGAUCGAAGACCGAGAAAACAACCCCACAACCACUACCAUCGAAAAUGGGUCAGAUCUAGCCAAGUUCAUGGCUUACGGCGUCGCUCCAGCGAAGGCCAUGGAAGCGACGUCAUUUUAUUACUCUUUUGUUCGUCGGUAUCACUGAAUAAAUAAGGCUUCAAUAUUUUGUGUUUUGUUGUAUUAUUUGGUUAUUCUCUCAAAUUUUGAUUUGAAAUUCACUGAAGAAUAAUGUUUUGUUUUACCUUUUUUUAUUGUUGCUCUAAAUGUGUUGGCCGGAGUUAAUAAAACUCCAUACUUUAGGACAAGCAUUUACAUGUUUCAAAUAUUUCUCUAAUUUUUAGCUUGCUCGAGUUUUUGUUAUGUUGCUACUGCUGCUCCAUUCAUUGUUAUUACUGCUGAUUUUGCUAUAGAUUUUCUAUUUGUGUAAUAUAAUUUUUUUAUUUGUGUAAUAUGAAUUUUCUACUAUCCACGGACUGAUUUCGCCACUUACAUUUUAUUUAAUGAGAUAGUACAAAAAAUAUUUGGCUAGUGAAAUUAUCUCUCCGUCGGAUACUUGAGGCCACCCUAACAAAAGACAGAUUUUGCUUUUUAGUUUACUUAUUUUAUAUCAAACAUCAAAACACUGCCUAUGACAAUAUCUUUUCGUUGGAUUUUUGAGGCCCC